This is a long non-coding RNA of Halichondria panicea, 1900 nucleotides long. RefSeq lists it as uncharacterized. The transcript is spliced from 4 exons. The record is from RefSeq and is a predicted model, not a curated record. NCBI's taxonomy places the organism in Eukaryota, Metazoa, Porifera, Demospongiae, Suberitida, Halichondriidae.
UGCUUGUAUCAAUAUGGAAUAGCUUAUCGAGGGGUGUGAACAACUGUGGUAUGAACAACUGUGCUUUUAUGAUCGCUUGUGUAUGGCUCAAUAUUUAAAUUUAAAGGAAGCUACGAUAAAAAGUAAAUCUUGUUUCGUAUUCAAACUUUCUUUUCAGCUUGGCAUGGAGGAGGUACGACAAGCAGUGCAUCCAUAUCAGUGCAUCUAUAUAUCAUCCAUAUAUCAUAGAAGCGACUGUAAAUGAUUUGGAUGAUGGAUUAAAAAUUAAUAUCAACAUAAGCUACGAUAGCUUAGACAAUUUCCAUGUUCCAUGAAGAGUACAGCAUUUGAAGAGUACUUUGACUGGCCGGCUGGCCGGCUUGCUUGGACAAUAAGCUUGGACAAUAAGCUGAUAACUAGGCCACAUUUGAUUUUCAUUAGAUCCACUGUCCAACUGUCCAACUGUCCAACUGUGCAAAAAAACUUAGCCGACAAAUUUGCAUUGCUAAGCGUAAAGGCACACAAAAAAAUGGCUGUAACCUCUAAGUCCCAGACCAGGCUGGUCACCCGCUUCGCAUGAGAUCAUGAGAUCAUGACGUUAUAGAAGAGGUAAGAUCAUGUGGUAAGAUCAUGUGUCAGGUCACCGCUAUGGGAUCAGCAAUAUUCAUGGUAAAGGUAUCACAGCUCUAUGCAGCUCUACAAUAUUAAUGAAUGCUUUGGCUGAUAUUAAUUUACCACUAUGGCUGAUAGAUAGAUACCCACUAGUAAUAGAUACCCACUAGUACUAAGUGAGGAUCAAAUGAGGAUCAAAAAAAGACCUUAAUAAGAUUUUAUGAGGCAAAACCUGUGCAUCAUUAAUUUUCAUCUUCAGGCACAGAAGGUCGUUGGUUUAAUACCAUAAAUGGCAUAAUUAAUGUCAUGGGGUGAAUGGGGUGAAUGCUCAUGGGGUGAAUGCUCUAUGCAUUCAUGGACCCAUGCGUUGAGCUUCAUCGCACAGCAGCAAAUGGAUAUAACUUUGUGAUUUGUGACUAUAAAGCUAAACGGUACAAUCAGAACAAUCAGAAAACAAAAAUCGUCUACAAGUUUACAAGUUUCAAAUUGCCUAUUAUUUUCCAACUACUGUCUCAUGCUAGUUCGCCACACACACUAAUCACCUUACCCCUGCUGCAGCACACACGGGGGUUGUUUAUACAGUACAGAUGCUCUUGCCCUGCCUACAACCAAGGAGAAAUACAAAAUACACUGUAAAGAACGAAUCGGAGAAUAUUCAAAUAUUCAAAAAGCAAAGAAGUGACGUGGCCAAAGAUUCAGAAAGUAAUGAGACAGAUGAAUUCUGAGGCACAAUCACUAAGUGAUGCGGCGGGAGUUGAGACAGUAACGCUACAUUUUCAUAAAGGGGAGGGGAGGUGUUUCCUGGAGGAAGUGAAAGAGGCGGAAGUGAAAGAGGCGUAAAGAGCAUCCAGUAGUGGAACUCUCGUUUACAUUACAUCUUACUUUUAUGAAAUACGGAGUGUGCACACAGCACAUAACUACCAACAACCCGAACUCAAGUAUAUAUAUAUAUAUAUAUAUAGCUAAUAGUCACCGUCUGUACUCGAUCAUGGUAAAAAUGUAGAUACGUAUUCUUUUGCUAUUGUUGAUUGGUCAUAAUUAAGCAUAAUUAUAAUUGCUGACCUAUUAUAUCUAGCUCAGGUUAGUCUACACAACAAGACCGGUAACCAUGGUAAUGGUGUUAUCCAUUUUACGUAUCUAAUUUACGUAUCUAAUGUGAAUCCCGAUAAAAAAGGUACACACUGAAACCAAUGAAACCAAUGAAACCAUUACACAAUGACAAUGAAUAGAGACUGCACGAAACGACCUUAACCAACCUGAGUAGGCUAUAGCUGCAUAUGACUUUACAAUUAAAACUUAAAACUGGCCA